AGAUCAUGCUGAGGACAAUUUCUUAAUAACCUUUUGUAGUGCUCCCAAGCCUCGUAUAGUGACUCCCCCGUUUGUUGCUCAAAAUUAGUUAUCACCUUCUUGAGUUU
This is a small nucleolar RNA of Lactuca sativa (garden lettuce), 107 nucleotides long. NCBI's taxonomy places the organism in Eukaryota, Viridiplantae, Streptophyta, Magnoliopsida, Asterales, Asteraceae. The record is from RefSeq and is a predicted model, not a curated record.